AGGGCUAUAGCUCAGUUGGUAGAGCACCUCGUUUACACCGAGAACGCUUACGGUUC
This 56-nucleotide transfer RNA is filed under the name Leucophyllum candidum. RNAcentral describes it as "partial tRNA-Val". It matches the Rfam family "tRNA", at positions 1 to 54 of the family's 71-position model. Rfam says of the family: Transfer RNA (tRNA) molecules are approximately 80 nucleotides in length. Lineage: Eukaryota; Viridiplantae; Streptophyta; Magnoliopsida; Lamiales; Scrophulariaceae. The record is from RNAcentral.